This 1391-nucleotide small RNA is filed under the name Drosophila virilis. RNAcentral describes it as "GJ25686". Lineage: Eukaryota; Metazoa; Arthropoda; Insecta; Diptera; Drosophilidae. The record is from RNAcentral.
UUGACAACUAAAUUUGCAGGGAAAUAGACACAAAAACACUAUAAUUUUUUGUCAUUGGAUUAUUAAUUUAAAGAGCUUAUUAACUGAGUAUACAACUAAUAGUCAUUUAAAAUUUGUUACGUGUCGGUUUGUCAGUCGAGGGUCAACGCCGUCCAGCCAGUACUUUCAUUCACACAAAAACAACACCAAAUCGACACAUCUCUAAACAACGGAUUCCAAAACGGACACAAGGGCCAGGAGCAAAACUACGCAAAACAAAGAUAAGAAAAAAACUAAUAAAACCCAAUAACAACAAAUCGGACAUUAAACGGUGGCAUCGCUGUUGUUUUUGUGGUGCUAUUGAUUAAUUCGCAUUUCACCACCAUAAAAUUUCAUAUGUAAGACGGCACUUAUCCGAACGACGUGGACAUUCACAUCCCCUCCAUAAUCUUAUGAUUAUAACAAUCAAAAUCUAAAAUUUCAUUUCACUAUAGAAUACAAUUCAAUUCAACAAUAUUUUCGCACGAUCGUAAGCAAACGGAGAAUCUUGCCAAACGCUAUUGUCGGUGGCCGCAAGAAUUAACAUAAAAGUUACUUGUCAGUAGUUUGCACCAAUGGAGAACAAGAUACCAACGUAAAUAACAUAUAACCGGGGGGCCUAAUAUGAGUCUGUUUCUGGCUCUGCCUGUUGCUCGGGCCGAAGACAGACGUUAUGGAACGGAGUCAUUCGGUUGACGUUGUCAUUUGCCUCAUCGUCUAUCCGUCUGGAUAAUGCCAGUAAAAAGGGCGCCGAUGAUAUGGCUGACGGGCACCACUGGAGCGAAACAUUGUCUGGGUGGAAACCUGCUGGUCUCUAUGGCUCGAGAACUUCGUGGUCGACCUAAAAUCCUCAGCGUGGAUCUUUUCGUUGCCAGAACCGUUUGCCGUUUUCAUUUGUUGGAUUGUUUAUUACGUUUCGUGUGUCGUAUUUUUUAGUGUCGGUUGUAUAUGUUUUGGAAGUUUGAAUAUCUUUUCUCCGGCAUUACUAAUUUUAUAUGGGCUAUUCAUUUUCUUUUGGUACCAUUUGAAUAUUUUGUUAAAUAUAUUAUUAUUAAUAAGCGUUUUAUAAGUUCCUUGCCAAAUGUAUAUUUCAGGCUACUUAAGCUUUUUUAAUUCGCCGGAAUAAAAAAGAAAAGUGCUACUGGUGCGUUUGAGCAGAGUCCGACUGUCUUGCACCGCCUCAUCAAAAUUGACUUUAUCGUUGCUGCCGAAAGCCUCUCCAUACAAUCAUAUUUUCGGUGAAUUUGCUACCCAUAGUCAGAAUUGGCAUGGGUAAAUCAACGACUGGGUAAAUCGCUCAUUUUUCUGCGAGCGAUUCGGGCGAGCAUCCGCCUACGCACUCCUGCGUUUUUGGUCAAUUCAGUGGAUCCUGA